This 74-nucleotide transfer RNA is filed under the name Aliidongia dinghuensis. RNAcentral's name for it is "tRNA-Gln". It matches the Rfam family "tRNA". From Rfam's summary of the family: Transfer RNA (tRNA) molecules are approximately 80 nucleotides in length. RNAcentral also lists the same sequence under 2 other names. Lineage: Bacteria; Pseudomonadati; Pseudomonadota; Alphaproteobacteria; Rhodospirillales; Dongiaceae. The record is from RNAcentral.
UGGGGGAUCGUCUAAUGGUAGGACAGCGGAUUCUGACUCCGUCAAUCCAGGUUCGAGUCCUGGUCCCCCAGCCA